Molecule: long non-coding RNA, 1705 nt
Filed under: Pan troglodytes (chimpanzee)
Lineage: Eukaryota; Metazoa; Chordata; Mammalia; Primates; Hominidae
Description: long non-coding RNA NONPTRT017254
Source: RNAcentral
CCUGGGUUCAAGUGAUUCUCCUGCCUCAGCCUCCUGAAUAGCUGGGAUUAUGGGCACGUGCCACCACACCCAGCUAAUUUUUGUAUUUUUAGUAGAGACAGGGUUUUACCAUGUUGAUCAGGCUGGUCUCGAACUCCUGACCUCAGGUGAUCCACCCGCCUCAGCCUCCCACAGUGCUGGGAUUACAGGUGUGCACCACUACGCUUGAACUGAUUUUUGUAUUUUUAGUAGAGAUGAGGCUUCAUCAUGUUGGCCAGGCUGGUCUUGAACUCCCGGCCUCAAGUGAUCCACCCACCUCAGCCUCCCAAAGUACUAGGAUUACAGGCGUGAGCCACUGCACCCAGCCCCUACUUGAGUCUUAAGAUGAGACUGAAGGCCUGUCUGACAGUUUUACUGCAAUCUCAAAAGAGACCUUGAGCCAGAAAGAUCCAGCAAAGCCACUCUGGAUCCCUGAGCCACUGAAACUGUGAGGAAUGAACGUUCCCAAAUUGGAGCUGUCCAGCAAUAAGGUGGAUUGCCUUUGAGGAAGCUGAGUUCCUUGCCAUAGGAAGUAUUCAAGCAGAAAGGUACAAAGACUCAACGACAGAGUGCCAGAGAGGAUGUCUUAUGGAGAUGGUUGACAUAAACCUCUCUAACUGCAUGGGCUAGAAGGGAUCCAGGAAGCCCCCUACAAACCAGCAACUCAGAGAGGUUCAUUAACUUGCCGAAGGCCACAAAGCUGUUAAGUGUUCAAACAGAUGGCGUCAAACCAGAUCUUUAGCCUCAGGGACCAGAGCUCUGCAGCCUGGAGGGGACCUUCUGCAGCAUCAUUGCACAGAAGACAUCAAUCAAUCAGUCUUUCAGUGGCCUUACAUUUUUCUCCACUUGCAGGUUAUGGGUCACCAUUUUACAAAUUCCUCCAGGACAGAAAGAAACUGUUUCUCCUGCCUGUUCUUUCCCAGCCCAGGCUGUCACCGGGGAUCCAAAUGUCAGGCUUUAUGCAAGUUCUCGAUGUUGGAACCUCUCAUGAAAAGUGGAGUGAACAAGAGGGAAAGUGGGCAAACCUCAGGCCUCACAGCUUUAAUGCCACCAAUGCAUUUGCUUCCGAGCAGGGAUAGGACAUUCUGUUGGCUUCCAGGAAUUCCUGGCAUUCCUUGGCUUGUAGCCACAAGACAUUAUAAUCAUCCUACGAAGGGGGUACUAAUAUUAUUCCCACUUUACAGAUGAGAAACCUAAGAGAAAAUAAGCAACUUGCCCACUGUGGGCCACUUGACUCUCAAGUUUUUGUCGGGACACUGUGUUGUUUCUGAGACAAUACACGGGAAGUACUUUCCACAAUGCCUAAUAAAUGUUAGGGGUUUCAUGCACCAAGCUCAGCGCCAGAGACUGGACAGACAAGUAUGAGCAGGGAAGAAUCCCUCCUUCCCUGUGGUUACCGUAUUUUAAAGGGAAUAAGCAGGGCACAGUGGCAUGUACCUGAAAUGCCAGCUACUGUAGAGGCUGAGAAAGGAGGAUGGCUUGAGGCCAAGAGUUCGAGACCAGUCUGGGCAACACAGUGAGACCUCAUCUCUAAAAAUAAAUACAUCAAUAAUAGCCAGGCAUGGCAGAGCAUGCCUAAAGUCCCAACUACUUGGGAGGCUGAGGUGGAAAGAUCAUCUGAGCCCAGGAGUUCAAUGCUGCAAUGAGCUAUGAUUGUGCCACUUCACUCCCACCUGGGCAACAGAGU